Molecule: ribosomal RNA, 393 nt
Filed under: Triticum aestivum (bread wheat)
Lineage: Eukaryota; Viridiplantae; Streptophyta; Magnoliopsida; Poales; Poaceae
Description: partial small subunit ribosomal RNA
Source: RNAcentral
AUGACGUCCACGAAGGAGUGUGGUUCAUUCGACAAAUUCCUACCUCUAUAUCUAUCUCUGAGGUUCGUUACAUUUCUCUCUGUUAUUUUGAAAGUAGCUGCUUCAGCUUCAGCCGCGCGAAUUCUCGAUAUUCCUUUUUAUUUCUCAUCAAACGAAUGGCAUCUUCUUCUGGAAAUCCUAGUUAUCCUUAGCAUGAUUUUGGGGAAUCUCCUUGCUAUUACUCAAACAAGCAUGAAACGUAUGCUUGCAUAUUCGUCCAUAGGGCAAAUUGGAUAUGUAAUUAUUGGAAUAAUUGUUGGAAACUCAAAUGAUAACUUAUAUGCUGUUCUAUAUCUCCAUGAAUCUAGGAACUUUUUCUUGCAUUGCAUUAUUUGGUCUACGUACCAGAACUGA